RNAcentral lists this ribosomal RNA (539 nucleotides) under uncultured bacterium. RNAcentral describes it as "bacterial SSU rRNA". It matches the Rfam family "Bacterial small subunit ribosomal RNA", at positions 356 to 896 of the family's 1533-position model. The record is from RNAcentral.
GAGGAAUAUUGGUCAAUGGGCGGUAGCCUGAACCAGCCAAGUAGCGUGCAGGAUGACGGCCCUAUGGGUUGUAAACUGCUUUUAUGCGGGGAUAAAGUCACCCACGUGUGGGUGUUUGCAGGUACCGCAUGAAUAAGGACCGGCUAAUUCCGUGCCAGCAGCCGCGGUAAUACGGAAGGUCCGGGCGUUAUCCGGAUUUAUUGGGUUUAAAGGGAGUGUAGGCGGCCUGUUAAGCGUGUUGUGAAAUGUAGAUGCUCAACAUCUGAACUGCAGCGCGAACUGGCUGGCUUGAGUACACGCAACGUGGGCGGAAUUCAUGGUGUAGCGGUGAAAUGCUUAGAUAUCAUGAGGAACUCCUAUUGCGAAGGCAGCUCACGGGAGUGUCACUGACGCUUAAGCUCGAAGGUGCGGGUAUCAAACAGGAUUAGAUACCCUGGUAGUCCGCACGGUAAACGAUGGAUGCCCGCUGUUGGCGCUUUGCGUCAGCGGCUAAGCGAAAGCAUUAAGCAUCCCACCUGGGGAGUACGCCGGCAACGGUG